UUGACCUCAAAUCAGGUAGGACUACCCGCUGAACUUAAGCAUAUCAAUAAGCGGAGGAAAAGAAACUAACAAGGAUUCCCCUAGUAACUGCGAGUGAAGCGGGAAAAGCUCAAAUUUAAAAUCUGGCGGUCUUGCGGCUGUCCGAGUUGUAAUCUGGAGAAGCGUUUAUCCGCGUCGGACCGUGUACAAGUCUUCUGGAAGGGAGCGUCGUAGAGGGUGAGAAUCCCGUCUUUGACACGGACAACGGUGCUUUUGUGAUGCGCUCUC
This 267-nucleotide ribosomal RNA is filed under the name uncultured Piloderma. RNAcentral describes it as "partial 28S ribosomal RNA". It matches the Rfam family "Eukaryotic large subunit ribosomal RNA", at positions 1 to 258 of the family's 3401-position model. The record is from RNAcentral. Lineage: Eukaryota; Fungi; Basidiomycota; Agaricomycetes; Atheliales; Atheliaceae.